Molecule: ribosomal RNA, 494 nt
Filed under: uncultured bacterium
Lineage: Bacteria
Description: bacterial SSU rRNA
Rfam family: Bacterial small subunit ribosomal RNA
Source: RNAcentral
AUUGAACGCUGGCGGAAUGCUUUACACAUGCAAGUCGAACGGUAGAGGGGGCAACCCCCUUGAGAGUGGCGAACGGGUGAGUAAUAUAUCGGAACGUGCCCAGUCGUGGGGAUAACGUAGCGAAAGUUACGCUAAUACCGCAUACGAUCUAAGGAUGAAAGCGGGGGAUCGCAAGACCUCGCGCGAUUGGAGCGGCCGAUAUCAGAUUAGGUAGUUGGUGAGGUAAAGGCUCACCAAGCCAACGAUCUGUAGCUGGUCUGAGAGGACGACCAGCCACACUGGAACUGAGACACGGUCCAGACUCCUACGGGAGGCAGCAGUGGGGAAUUUUGGGACAAUGGACGCAAGUCUGAUCCAGCCAUUCCGCGUGCAGGAUGAAGGCCCUCGGGUUGUAAACUGCUUUUGUACGGAACGAAAGGUUUCUAGUUAAUACUAGGAGCUCGAUGACGGUACCGUAAGAAUAAGCAACCGGCUAACUACGUGCCAGCAGCCGC